Molecule: ribosomal RNA, 453 nt
Filed under: uncultured bacterium
Lineage: Bacteria
Description: partial 16S ribosomal RNA
Rfam family: Bacterial small subunit ribosomal RNA
Source: RNAcentral
GAUGAACGCUGGCGGCGUGCCUAAUACAUGCAAGUCGAGCGGUAACACUUCGGGUGACGAGCGGCGGACGGCUGAGUAACACGUAGGAAUCUACCCCAGACUGAGGGAUAAGCACCGGAAGCGGUGUCUAAUACCGCAUACGCUCUAAGGAGUAAAGCUUCGGCGGUUUGGGAAGAGCCUGCGCAUGAUUAGCUUGUUGGUAAGGUAAUGGCUUACCAAGGCGACGAUCAUUAGCUGGUCUGAGAGGAUGAUCAGCCAGACUGGGACUGAGACACGGCCCAGACUCCUACGGGAGGCAGCAGUAGGGAAUUUUCCACAAUGGGCGAAAGCCUGAUGGAGCAACGCCGCGCGCAGGAUGAAGGCCUUCGGGUUGUAGACUGCUUUUAUAUGUGAAGAUUAUGACGGUAGCAUAUGAAUAAGGAUCGGCUAACUCCGUGCCAGCCGCCGCGGUAA